CCUACGGGAGGCUGCAGUGAGGAAUAUUGGUCAAUGGACGAGAGUCUGAACCAGCCAAGUAGCGUGAAGGAUGACUGCCCUAUGGGUUGUAAACUUCUUUUAUAAAGGAAUAAAACGAGGCACGUGUGCCUUUUUGCAUGUACUUUAUGAAUAAGGAUCGGCUAACUCCGUGCCAGCAGCCGCGGUAAUACGGAGGAUCCGAGCGUUAUCCGGAUUUAUUGGGUUUAAAGGGAGCGUAGAUGGGUUGUUAAGUCAGUUGUGAAAGUUUGCGGCUCAACCGGAAAAUUGCAAUUGAUACUGGCAGUCUUGAGUACAGUUGAGGGAGGCGGAAUUCGUGGUGUAGCGGUGAAAUGCUUAGAGAUCACGAAGAACCCCGAUUGCGAAGGCAGCUUACUAAACUGUGACUGACAUUGAUGCUCGAAAGUGUGGGUAGCAAACAGGAUUAGAUACCCGUGUAGUC
RNAcentral lists this ribosomal RNA (460 nucleotides) under uncultured bacterium. RNAcentral describes it as "partial 16S ribosomal RNA". It matches the Rfam family "Bacterial small subunit ribosomal RNA", at positions 338 to 795 of the family's 1533-position model. The record is from RNAcentral.